RNAcentral lists this ribosomal RNA (635 nucleotides) under uncultured bacterium. RNAcentral describes it as "bacterial SSU rRNA". It matches the Rfam family "Bacterial small subunit ribosomal RNA", at positions 814 to 1450 of the family's 1533-position model. The record is from RNAcentral.
UACUAGCCGUUGGGACUCUUGAAGUCUUAGUGGCGCAGCUAACGCACUAAGUAGACCGCCUGGGGAGUACGGCCGCAAGGUUAAAACUCAAAUGAAUUGACGGGGGCCCGCACAAGCGGUGGAGCAUGUGGUUUAAUUCGACGCAACGCGAAGAACCUUACCUGGCCUUGACAUGCAGAGAACUUUCCAGAGAUGGAUUGGUGCCUUCGGGAACUCUGACACAGGUGCUGCAUGGCCGUCGUCAGCUCGUGUCGUGAGAUGUUGGGUUAAGUCCCGUAACGAGCGCAACCCCUAUCCCUAGUUGCUAGCAGUUCGGCUGAGAACUCUAGGGAGACUGCCGGUGACAAACCGGAGGAAGGUGGGGAUGACGUCAGGUCAUCAUGGCCCUUACGGCCAGGGCUACACACGUGCUACAAUGGUGCGUACAGAGGGCUGCAAACCCGCGAGGGGGAGCUAAUCUCACAAAACGCAUCGUAGUCCGGAUCGGAGUCUGCAACUCGACUCCGUGAAGUCGGAAUCGCUAGUAAUCGCGAAUCAGAAUGUCGCGGUGAAUACGUUCCCGGGCCUUGUACACACCGCCCGUCACACCAUGGGAGUGGAUUGCACCAGAAGUGGUUAGUCUAACUUCGGGAGGA